UUCUAUGGCCAUAUCACCCUGAGUGUGCCUGAUCUCAGAAGCUAAUCAGGGUCGGGACUGGUUAGUACUUGGAUGGGAGUAACUAUGAAAGAGAUGGGAAAACACAAGAAGGCAUGAUCU
This 120-nucleotide ribosomal RNA is filed under the name Nomascus leucogenys (northern white-cheeked gibbon). The record is from RNAcentral. Lineage: Eukaryota; Metazoa; Chordata; Mammalia; Primates; Hylobatidae.